GCUCAAUGAAAAUUCAAUAGCCGCAAUAUUCUUGUGCUAAGGUAGCAUAAUCAUUUGUCUUAUAAUUAAAGACUAGAAUAAAAGAUUCAAUAUUUUUAUUUCUUUCUUAUAUAUAAUAUAUAAAUUUAUUUUAAAUAUAAAAAAAUAUUUAUUAUUAAAAAAGACGAUAAGACCCUAUUGAACUUAACUUUAGUUAAACUGGGGUAGUUAAUUAAACAAUAUUUUAAUUUAAAAUUUAAAAACUUCUAAUAAAAUUAAAUAUAUCAAGUUACCAUAGGGAUAACAGCGCAAUAAUUUUUACAAGAUCUUAUUUAAAAAAUUGUUUACGACCUCGAUGUUGAAUUAAUAAUCUAUUAAAUGCAAUAAUUUAAUAAGAAAGUCUGUUCGACUUUUAAUCAAUUACGUGAUCUGAGUUCAGACCGGA
This 424-nucleotide ribosomal RNA is filed under the name Draconarius brunneus. RNAcentral describes it as "partial 16S ribosomal RNA". The record is from RNAcentral. Lineage: Eukaryota; Metazoa; Arthropoda; Arachnida; Araneae; Agelenidae.